This 2701-nucleotide long non-coding RNA is filed under the name Equus caballus (horse). RNAcentral describes it as "lncRNA (ENSECAG00000045363.1)". The record is from RNAcentral. Lineage: Eukaryota; Metazoa; Chordata; Mammalia; Perissodactyla; Equidae.
GGUGUUUUUGAAUGGAGGGUUGGAAAAACAGAUUUAUAUAAAAUGUUGGCUCUGAGAGAAGAUAACCUGCAUUCUGAAAGACUAGUGAAGAACAAAAGGAAGUGACACGGGCCGUAUUGGUUCUGGAGGUUUGCAGAACUCCUUACAUUUAUGGAGGUCCCCUUCCGCCAAUUGUUUUAACUCAUUACACCCGCAGGAGAUUUUAGCAAAUCUUAUUUGCAUAACUUUGUUCAAGACAGUCCCUCCACCUGGAAUUCUCUGUUUUCCUUGCAUUGCGCACCUGUGCCACCCUCCUCCUCCAGACUCUUGACUAUUGAAAUUGAAAUUUUAUUGUCUUUUAAGGUCUGCUUCCCAGUUUACCUCCUCCAACUUCACCAAUGCAGUUGGAAAUUGUCUCUCUGCUCUGAACUCCUCGGUCACAGUCUGAUCACACCCUGGCCUGAAUUGAAGUUGUUUGACAGCUCUUCUGUCUUUUUUUUCCUUACAUCUUCCAGAGUUUCUAAUGUUCAGGCUCAGUAAGUACUUGAAUGAAUAGACAGCCAUAUGGAUCCUGACAGGAGUGCUCCCUCACUGCAUGCCAAAUGCAAGUCAAGGACAAGACCAAGGAGACCUCUGCCCGGCCCAGCCCUCUUUCAGGCACUUCUGUGAUACCAUGUGUCUCUCUCCGAUGAAGCCAUUUUUUCUCAGAUUCCUUGGGAAAACAUCCCAGGCAUGUACAAUAACGGUCACCACUCUGACCAGGGGAAUGUCCCAGCUGAAUUUAUGUUUUUACCCUCAAGGACCAUGCAGCUAAACUCCACAUAGGGUGGGGCCCAGUAAUGAGAGAAGACUGUGGUGUGAAUGCCAGCAAUUUAGAGCGUUGGGCCCCUGCCCCUGAUGCAGCCAAAGGGCACUGCCCACUCUCCAUAGGACUGUUGUUAAUGGCCAAAGGGUGUCCUAUGAGUGUCAAAGGAAAGUUCACAUUUCCAUGGAAGGAUCAGAGGCCAAGGGAGAGGUCAGAUGCAUCUGUGGGGCUUUUGUCUGGUUGUUCUUUGUUAAAACCCACAUGUGGACGUAUUUUGAUCUCCCACAUAUCUGCAUGUGUUUCUGGGUGGAUGAGAAUGCUGUGCAGCUGGACCCUGAGUAAUGGUUCCGGCCUUCAACAAGCUCCGCGGAGGAGCAGUUUAGACAGGGUUGCAUUCUGCUCUCAAUUUCCACUUUGGCAAAGGAAACUGCAUAUUCAUCUCAUCAAGUAAGGGGAGAGUUAAGGGCGCUGCCACCAAAUUCUUCUCCCUUCCCAUAUGUGCAAGUCAUGAAGGAAAAGUUCUGACUGUGUUUUUCUGUCAUGCCAAUUCAUGGCUUAGGUGUGUCAAUGCCAGCCUAGUUCCUAGUACAUAGUACUGUCAUUAUUGAUUUUUUCAAACUGUCCUGUCUUCGUCCAGCAGGAGCGUCUUAAAGUUGGCUCAUUAGUCCUUGGAUGCAAUUCGACUUGUCUCUGAUAAAGUUCUAUCUGGCAUGACAAGAUGUUCCAGGUACAUCUUGUGUAUUUCCUGCUCUAAAUCUGGAAUCAGCUGUUUCUCUGAAGAGCAUUGUUUCUUUGAGUGGGAAAUAGUGUUUCUGGAGCUCCCUCUGGGAAUAGGGGUGCUCUAUGCUAACAGGUUAUUCGUUGUGUUGAGGCCUUUUUAGUAGACAGAGCCAGAAAAUAUGUUCAUUUCUUAAGAUAAAUAUAUCAUGAAUUCGUAUUAAUACUUCCAAUUCAAUUCAAGAUUCUAGGAAUUUUGCUUAAUGUCUUCAAUCUUACAUCUCCUUUCUCUCAAAGCUGAGAAUCCUGGUUUUCAAAGGCACUGGGAAUGAGACAUAAUUAUCAAACAGUUAUGCAUUUGUUCUAUCUUACAACACACACACAGAUGUCACAAAAACGACCAACAUUUCCACCAACGAUGUGAUUCCUGAAAAGAGUUUAAGCGUGUCUUGUGUUUGUGCUUGUAGCUUUCAUGGUCCCUGGGGACCUGUGGUCAAGCUGAAGUUGUAAAGUCCAGUGGAAUAAUUCCUCCCUGUGUGGUUAUGCAAACUGUAUUCACAGUUAGGGUCAUAUGUUUCAUUUUAUUUUCCAGGAUUCUUUUUAAAUAUAAUUUUAUAUAAUAUUUACAUUGUUCCAAAGUCAAAUCUACAAAGUAUACACAAAGUAUCUUUAAAGUAGUCUAGCUUCUAUUUCAUAUCUUCUUCACCCUGUAUCCCCCUAUAUCUUAUAAGUAAUCAUUUAUUUUUAAAUUCUAUGAUUUAUUCUUCUAUUGUUUGUUUUUAAAAUGUUAUGUAUACGCACACACACACAGACACAUUCCUUUUUCUCAGAUACACAUGCACAAUUUUCUCUACUCUGUUUUUUUUUUUUUUCUUACUAUAUCUUACUAGAUCUUACUAGAUCACUCCAUACUGGUAUAUAGAGAGAUUUAUUAUUCAUUUUUUAGGCUGGUUCAGUUUACUCAACCAGUCCCUUAAUGAUGAGUAUUUGAGUUGUUUCAUCUUUGUUGGCAAAAAUAAUAACAGCCUUGUACUCUCUCUCUCUCUCUUUCUUUCUUUCAACAGUAUAUCUUUGGAAUAGCUUCCUAAAAAUGGGAUUUCUGGAUACAGAGUAGUUAAAAAAAAUUUUUUUAAACAAUUUCAAAUUUAAAGAAAAGUUGCAAAUAGAAUAGAAAGAACAUUUUUCCUGCACCACUUGAGA